CCUACGGGAGGCAGCAGUGAGGAAUAUUGGUCGAUGGACGCGAGCCUGAACCAGCCAAGUAGCGUGAAGGAUGACUGCCCUACGGGUUGUAAACUUCUUUUAUACAGGAAUAAACUGAGGCACUUGUGCCUUUUUGCAUGUACCUUAUGAAUAAGGAUCGGCUAACUCCGUGCCAGCAGCCGCGGUAAUACGGAGGAUCCGAGCGUUAUCCGGAUUUAUUGGUUUUAAAGGGAUCGUAGAUGGGUCGUGAAGGCAGUGGUAAAUGUUGGGGGCUAAACCGGAAAAUUGCAAUUGAUACUGGCAGCUUUGAGGACAGUUGGGGUGGGCGGAAUUCGUGGUGUAGCGGGGAAAUGCUUAGAUAUCACGAAGAACUCGGAUUGCGAAGGCAGCUAACUAAAC
This 399-nucleotide ribosomal RNA is filed under the name uncultured bacterium. RNAcentral describes it as "partial 16S ribosomal RNA". It matches the Rfam family "Bacterial small subunit ribosomal RNA", at positions 338 to 734 of the family's 1533-position model. The record is from RNAcentral.